AGUCGAGUGUCGGGGCGCAGGUCCCCCUCGGUGAACGUCAGCAGGGGCUGCAGUACCGUCUCCUGCGCCAGGGGGCGGUGCGCAUCCGCGGCGGCGGCCGGGCGCUCGAGGGAGACCAGGAGGCGGCCCCGGACCACCAGGCCGUCCGGGAAGACGUCCGAGGUCUCGUUGAGGGGCUCGGCGACCCCGCGGACGUCAUCGUACAAAAGACGGCGGUGGAGCUGGACAGGGAGGACACCCGUGCUGGUCACUGAGAGAGAGAGAGAGAGAGAGUGAGACGUUUACGUCGCUUGGACGUCUCACAGGGACCCAACAUGUGUCGCCACUCACUCAAUGGGAAUGGGGCCCACAGUCCACUCCAGCUCCAGGACCCGGCUGUCGGCGUGGAGACGAACCACCUGCGUGGCCCAGGGAGAGAACCUCUGCCUCACUUCCUGCAUGACUGACGUCUGAGGGAGCGGCGUUGUGUGGUGUUUAUGACGAGGAGGAGGAGAACUUACACCUGAGGAAGGCCGCCCUCAUCCUCUGAUCGGCCGGCUGCAGAGACAACAAGGACAGCGGGAACGAUGCACACAACACUGAGGACACACAAGGAAGUGCUG
Molecule: long non-coding RNA, 602 nt
Organism: Entelurus aequoreus (snake pipefish)
Lineage: Eukaryota; Metazoa; Chordata; Actinopteri; Syngnathiformes; Syngnathidae
Exons: 3
Source: RefSeq, a predicted model, not a curated record